AUCGCUUCUCGGCCUUUUGGCUAAGAUCAAGUGUAGUAUCUGUUCUUAUCAGUUUAAAAUAAUUGUCUUUUCAAAGAUCUUCUUACACCAGCUAUUUGAUCAGGCGCUUGCACUACAAAAACUCAUACAAACCCCU
Molecule: small nuclear RNA, 136 nt
Filed under: Mustela putorius furo (domestic ferret)
Lineage: Eukaryota; Metazoa; Chordata; Mammalia; Carnivora; Mustelidae
Description: U2 spliceosomal RNA
Rfam family: U2 spliceosomal RNA
About the family: U2 is a small nuclear RNA (snRNA) component of the spliceosome (involved in pre-mRNA splicing).
Source: Rfam by way of RNAcentral